GACGUAGGGCGCAAGCGUUGUCCGGAAUUAUUGGGCGUAAAGAGCUCGUAGGCGGCUUGUUGCGUCGACUGUGAAAAACCACGACUCAACCGUGGGACUGCAGUCGAUACGGGCAGGCUAGAGUUCGGUAGGGGGAGACUGGAAUUCCUGGUGUAGCGGUGAAAUGCGCAGAUAUCAGGAGGAACACCGGUGGCGAAGGCGGGUCUCUGGGCCGAUACUGACGCUGAGGAGCGAAAGCGUGGGGAGCGAACAGG
This 254-nucleotide ribosomal RNA is filed under the name uncultured bacterium. Its description in RNAcentral is "partial 16S ribosomal RNA". It matches the Rfam family "Bacterial small subunit ribosomal RNA", at positions 524 to 776 of the family's 1533-position model. The record is from RNAcentral.